This 1467-nucleotide ribosomal RNA is filed under the name uncultured bacterium. RNAcentral's name for it is "bacterial SSU rRNA". It matches the Rfam family "Bacterial small subunit ribosomal RNA". The record is from RNAcentral.
AGAGUUUGAUCCUGGCUCAGAACGUACGCUGGCGGCACGCCUAACACAUGCAAGUCGAACGAAGUAGCAAUACUUAGUGGCAGACGGGUGAGUAACAUGUAGGUAUCUGCCCUUUGGCCUGGAAUAACACGAGGAAACUUGUGCUAAUACCGGAUAAGUCUUUACGGAGAAAGCUUUAUGCACCAUUGGAUGAGCCUGCACUUGAUUAGUUUGUUGGUGGGGUAAUGGCCUACCAAGACUGUGAUCAAUAGCUGAUUUGAGAGGAUGAUCAGCCACAUUGGGACUGAGACACGGCCCAAACUCCUACGGGAGGCAGCAGUGGGGAAUCUUGCACAAUGGAGGAAACUCUGAUGCAGCGAUGCCGCGUGAGUGAAGAAGGCCCUUGGGUUGUAAAGCUCUUUCGUCGGGGAAGAAAAUGACUGUACCCGAAUAAGAAGGUCCGGCUAACUUCGUGCCAGCAGCCGCGGUAAUACGAAGGGACCUAGCGUAGUUCGGAAUUACUGGGCUUAAAGAGUUCGUAGGUGGUUGAAAAAGUUAGUGGUGAAAUCCCAGAGCUUAACUCUGGAACUGCCAUCAAAACUUUUCAGCUAGAGUAUGAUAGAGGAAAGCAGAAUUUCUAGUGUAGAGGUGAAAUUCGUAGAUAUUAGAAAGAAUACCAAUUGCGAAGGCAGCUUUCUGGAUCAUUACUGACACUGAGGAACGAAAGCAUGGGUAGCGAAGAGGAUUAGAUACCCUCGUAGUCCAUGCCGUAAACGAUGUGUGUUAGACGUUGGAAAUUUAUUUUCAGUGUCGCAGCGAAAGCGAUAAACACACCGCCUGGGGAGUACGACCGCAAGGUUAAAACUCAAAUGAAUUGACGGGGACCCGCACAAGUAGUGGAGCAUGUGGUUUAAUUCGAAGAUACGCGCAGAACCUUACCAACACUUGACAUGUUCGUCGCGACUCUAAGAGAUUAGAGUUUUCGGUUCGGCCGGACGAAACACAGGUGCUGCAUGGCUGUCGUCAGCUCGUGUCGUGAGAUGUUGGGUUAAGUCCCGCAACGAGCGCAACCCUCACUUUUAGUUGCCAUCAUUAAGUUGGGCACUCUGAAAGAACUGCCAGUGAUAAGCUGGAGGAAGGUGGGGAUGACGUCAAGUCCUCAUGGCCCUUACGUGUUGGGCUACACACGUGCUACAAUGGUAUCUACAACAGGAAGCAAGACUGCGAAGUUAAGCAAAUCCCUAAAAGAUACCUCAGUUCGGAUUGCACUCUGCAACUCGAGUGCAUGAAGCUGGAAUUACUAGUAAUCGUGGAUCAGCGUGCCACGGUGAAUGCGUUCCCGGGUCUUGUACACACCGCCCGUCACACCAUGGGAGUUGGUUCUACCUUAAGGCAAGGUUUCAAACCCUUGACCACGGUAUAGUCAGCGACUGGGGUGAAGUCGUAACAAGGUAGCCGUAGGGGAACCUGCGGCUGGAUCACCUCCUU